UACAGAGGUCUCAAGCGUUGUUCGGAAUCACUGGGCGUAAAGGGUGCGUAGGUGGCGUGGUAAGUCAGAUGUGAAAGCCCGGGGCUCAACCUCGGAACUGCAUCCGAUACUACCAUGCUAGAGUACUGAAGAGGUGACUAGAAUUCUCGGUGUAGCAGUGAAAUGCGUAGAUAUCGAGAGGAAUACCAAAGGCGAAGGCAGGUCACUGGGCAGUUACUGACACUGAGGCACGAAGGCUAGGGGAGCAAACGGG
This 253-nucleotide ribosomal RNA is filed under the name uncultured bacterium. RNAcentral's name for it is "partial 16S ribosomal RNA". It matches the Rfam family "Bacterial small subunit ribosomal RNA", at positions 524 to 776 of the family's 1533-position model. The record is from RNAcentral.